Molecule: non-coding RNA, 850 nt
Organism: Oncorhynchus mykiss (rainbow trout)
Lineage: Eukaryota; Metazoa; Chordata; Actinopteri; Salmoniformes; Salmonidae
Source: RefSeq, a predicted model, not a curated record
AGAGGCAGGAGAGUAGAACCACCCUGACACCAGGCUAGAAGACCAGGUCUGUAUUGGUCAGACUAGAACCACCCUGACACCAGGCUAGAAGACCAGGUCUGUAUUGGUCAGACUAGAACCACCCUGACACCAGGCUAGAAGACGAGGUCUGUAUUGGUCAGACUAGAACCACCCUGACAACAGGUCUGUUUUAGUCAGACUAGAACCACCCUGACACCAGGUCUGUAUUGGUCAGACUAGAACCACCUUGACACCAGGUCUGUAUUGGUCAGACUAGAACCACCCUGACACCAGGCUAGAAGACCAGGUCUGUAUUGGUCAGACUAGAACCACCCUGACACCAGGCUAGAAGACCAGGUCUGUUUUGGUCAGACUAGAACCACCCUGACACCAGGCUAGAAGACCAGGUCUGUGUUGGUCAGACUAGAACCACCCUGACACCAGGCUAGAAGACCAGGUCUGUUUUGGUCAGACUAGAACCACCCUGACACCAGGCUAGAAGACCAGGUCUGUGUUGGUCAGACUAGAACCACCCUGACACCAGGCUAGAAGACCAGGUCUGUUUUGGUCAGACUGUUCAAACAUUUACCAAGGCAUUAAUUAACUUGAUUUACACAGUUAAAAACUAAGUAGCUCUAUUUUGAAUGUUGUAUUGAUCUUUGUGUUAUUGAUUAGAUUUGAUACGUAUGACUGACUAUGUGUCUCAAUCAAACUGUUUUACUGUGCGUCUAUUAGCCAAUUUAGCUUUAAAAACAUUCUAUUGAAAGAACAAUCAACUUCAUUUCUGUUACAGUAAUGAUUGUAUGUCACAAUCUAGCUCUUUACAAAUAAAUGUGUUUUCUUCUGUUCA